ACGGAAGGCAGCAGUGAGGAAUAUUGGUCAAUGGGCGAGAGCCUGAACCAGCCAAGUCGCGUGAAGGAAGACGGUUCUAUGGAUUGUAAACUUCUUUUGUCCGAGGGUAAAGUGAGAGAUGCGUCUCUUAUUGCAAGUAUCGGACGAAUAAGCAUCGGCUAACUCCGUGCCAGCAGCCGCGGUAAUACGGAGGAUGCGAGCGUUAUCCGGAUUUAUUGGGUUUAAAGGGUGCGCAGGCGGCACGUUAAGUCAGCGGUGAAAUGUCGGGGCUCAACCCGGGCACUGCCGUUGAAACUGGCGAGCUUGAGUACGGAUGAAGUCGGCGGAAUGUGAUGUGUAGCGGUGAAAUGCUUAGAUAUGUCACAGAACACCGAUUGCGAAGGCAGCUGACUAAUCCGCAACUGACACUCAGGCACGAAAGCGUGGGGAUCGAACAGGAUUAGAUACCCUGAUA
Molecule: ribosomal RNA, 454 nt
Filed under: uncultured Porphyromonadaceae bacterium
Lineage: Bacteria; Pseudomonadati; Bacteroidota; Bacteroidia; Bacteroidales; Porphyromonadaceae
Description: partial 16S ribosomal RNA
Rfam family: Bacterial small subunit ribosomal RNA
Source: RNAcentral